CAUUAAAAAUUUCAUCCAUUUCUAUUGUUAAAAACUAGUGUGAUUGACGGAGUAACCAAACAGUUACACGUAGCAUGCCACAUAUACCUCAUGUUGAUUUAUAAAUACUAGUUUUAAUAGUAAAAAUGGGCGAAAUUUUUAACA
Non-coding RNA from Gossypium hirsutum (cotton), 144 nucleotides. Lineage: Eukaryota; Viridiplantae; Streptophyta; Magnoliopsida; Malvales; Malvaceae. The record is from Rfam.